RNAcentral lists this ribosomal RNA (252 nucleotides) under uncultured bacterium. Its description in RNAcentral is "partial 16S ribosomal RNA". It matches the Rfam family "Bacterial small subunit ribosomal RNA", at positions 524 to 776 of the family's 1533-position model. The record is from RNAcentral.
UACGGAGGAUGCGAGCGUUACCCGGAUUUAUUGAGUUUAAAGGGUGCGUAGGCGGAUUUUUAAGUCAGCGGUAAAAUGUCCGGGCUCAACCCGGGCCGGCCGUUGAAACUGGGGAUCUUGAGUGGGCGAGAAGUAUGCGGAAUGCGUGGUGUAGCGGUGAAAUGCAUAGAUAUCACGCAGAACUCCGAUUGCGAAGGCAGCAUACCGGCGCCCGACUGACGCUGAGGCACGAAAGCGUGGGGAUCGAACAGG